AAUCAACGCUGGCGGCGUGCCUCAGACAUGCAAGUCGAACGAUUAAAGCUGCCUUCGGGGAGUGCAUAGAGUGGCGCACGGGUGAGUAACACGUAAGUAAUCUACCUUCGAGUGGGGAAUAACGUCCGGAAACGGACGCUAAUACCGCAUAAUGCAGCAGCAUCGCAAGAGGACAGUUGUCAAAGAUUUAUCGCUUGAAGAGGAUCUGGCGGCAGAUUAGCUAGUUGGUAAGGUACUGGCGUACCAAGGCUACGAUCUGUAACCGGUCUUAGAGGACGGUCGGUCACACUGACACUGAAUAACGGGUCAGACUCCUACGGGAGGCAGCAGUCGGGAAUUUUGGGCAAUGGGCGAAAGCCUGACCCAGCAACGCCGCGUGAAGGAUGAAGUAUUUCGGUAUGUAAACUUCGAAAGAAUGGGAAGAAUCAAUGGCGGUACCAUUUAUAAGGUCCGGCUAACUACGUGCCAGCAGCCGCAGUAA
RNAcentral lists this ribosomal RNA (481 nucleotides) under uncultured bacterium. Its description in RNAcentral is "partial 16S ribosomal RNA". It matches the Rfam family "Bacterial small subunit ribosomal RNA", at positions 32 to 523 of the family's 1533-position model. The record is from RNAcentral.